This 241-nucleotide ribosomal RNA is filed under the name Staphylococcus epidermidis NIHLM039. RNAcentral's name for it is "partial 23S ribosomal RNA". It matches the Rfam family "Bacterial large subunit ribosomal RNA", at positions 1 to 240 of the family's 2925-position model. The record is from RNAcentral. Lineage: Bacteria; Bacillati; Bacillota; Bacilli; Caryophanales; Staphylococcaceae.
GAUUAAGUUAUUAAGGGCGCACGGUGGAUGCCUUGGCACUAGAAGCCGAUGAAGGACGUUACUAACGACGAUAUGCUUUGGGUAGCUGUAAGUAAGCGUUGAUCCAGAGAUUUCCGAAUGGGGGAACCCAGCAUGAGUUAUGUCAUGUUAUCGACAUGUGAAUUCAUAGCAUGUCAGAAGGCAGACCCGGAGAACUGAAACAUCUUAGUACCCGGAGGAAGAGAAAGAAAAUCGAUUCCCU